Long non-coding RNA from Cheilinus undulatus (humphead wrasse), 691 nucleotides. RefSeq lists it as uncharacterized. The record is from RefSeq and is a predicted model, not a curated record. The transcript has 5 exons. Lineage: Eukaryota; Metazoa; Chordata; Actinopteri; Labriformes; Labridae.
UUAGCAAAAUUUCAGUUAAACAGACAUAAAAAGUCUGACCUUCAAUCAAGGUUUCUACUGAUAUUUAUUUGUUUGUGAGUGUUCAUUUGUUCUGUUAGAGGAAGUCAGAAUAACUGGAGGAGAAGACGGUAGACUGUAAAGUCAGGAGACAGGUGCAGUGGGGUCAGCUGGUGGGACCACAUGUAUAGAAAGCAUUAUUGAUUAAAUGACAUAAACAGUGCUGAUACUCAUGUGUCUAACUCAUCGUUCUGCUGUUCCAGGAGAUGGAAACUUGGGCUCCAGACGACUAAACUGGAGAUGGAGACCUAUUCCCAAACUACCCUUCGGAGUUUCAGAGAUUUUCUAUCUGUUCAACAUGAGGAUGAGUAUCUGAUCCUGGUGAACUCUGGAGACUGGUUUUCAUGAACUCUAGGACUUCAAGCACCUUGGAUUCUGGUCCUCUCUGAUCCUCCUCCAGACUCUGGGACCUUGAUUUGCAGGAGAUGGAACCGUGGGCCCACACAUUAAAGGAUCGUUCACAUGCAUGGAGGGUGAGGAGUCUGAUUUAAAGCUUCCAAAGAAUUCCCAUGUGAUUCCUGAGCUACAGCCAAUCAUGACAAACCUUUUAGAAAGCACAAACACAGGGAGACCAGGCUUUGUACCAUCAGUCUUUCCUGCUGAUUGAGCUGCUCUUUCUUGGUUCAUGAACAUU